AGAGUUUGAUCAUGGCUCAGAACGAACGCUGGCGGCAGGCUUAACACAUGCAAGUCGAGCGCGUGUAGCAAUACACGAGCGGCGCACGGGUGAGUAACGCGUGGAUAUCUGCCUUUUGGUUCGGAAUAACCCCGGGAAACUGGGGCUAAUACCGGAUGGUUCCUACGGGAUAAAGAUUUAUCGCCAAAAGAUGAGUCCGCGUCCGAUUAGCUAGUUGGUGAGGUAACGGCUCACCAAGGCGACGAUCGGUAGCUGGUCUGAGAGGACGAUCAGCCACACUGGGACUGAGACACGGCCCAGACUCCUACGGGAGGCAGCAGUGGGGAAUAUUGGACAAUGGGGGCAACCCUGAUCCAGCCAUGCCGCGUGAGUGAUGAAGGCCUUCGGGUUGUAAAGCUCUUUUGGCGGGGACGAUGAUGACGGUACCCGCAGAAUAAGCCCCGGCUAACUUCGUGCCAGCAGCCGCGGUAAGACGAAGGGGGCUAGCGUUGUUCGGAAUUACUGGGCGUAAAGCGCGUGUAGGCGGUUGUCCAAGUUGGAUGUGAAAGCCUUGAGCUCAACUCAAGAAAUGCAUUCAGGACUGGAUGACUAGAGGACCGGAGAGGAUAGUGGAAUUCCCAGUGUAGUGGUGAAAUACGUAGAGAUUGGGAAGAACACCAGUGGCGAAGGCGGCUAUCUGGACGGUUUCUGACGCUAAGACGCGAAAGCGUGGGGAGCAAACAGGAUUAGAUACCCUAGUAGUCC
This 744-nucleotide ribosomal RNA is filed under the name uncultured bacterium. RNAcentral describes it as "bacterial SSU rRNA". It matches the Rfam family "Bacterial small subunit ribosomal RNA", at positions 8 to 796 of the family's 1533-position model. The record is from RNAcentral.